This 1468-nucleotide long non-coding RNA is filed under the name Populus trichocarpa (black cottonwood). RNAcentral describes it as "long non-coding RNA (PTRI_LNC002095)". The record is from RNAcentral. Lineage: Eukaryota; Viridiplantae; Streptophyta; Magnoliopsida; Malpighiales; Salicaceae.
CCCUAACCCGUAAUGUUCCUUCCUCAGUGACUCGAUCUCAUUACUGAAAAACAAACAGACCUCACUGAUCCGUUUUCCCUUCUCGUAACUCUUGUUUUCUCCAUCUCUCUUCUUUUGCCUCCAAGCCUACUAAAGAGGGAGAAGAGAUUUAUAAGUUUUUCUGAGAAUUCAUUUCUUUGUUAACUGUCAUGACUAAUACUCUCGCUCACAGUGCAAGUGCUCCACCACAAUUAUACUUCGAUGAGAAGUGGAAGCUGACCAAGAAAGAGGGGUCAUCAAGAAGCAGAUCCUCAACUUCUUCUCUAAUGAAGAAUUCAUCUCAAAGGAGGUGUUCUUUUACAAGAAAAUGUGCAAGGCUUGUUAAAGAACAGAGAGCUAGGUUCUACAUCAUGAGGAGGUGCGUCACAAUGCUUAUUUGCUGGAGAGACUACAACGAUGCUUAAAAAAAAUUGGAAGAGAAAGAAAGAAAAGGCAAGAGGGAUCUAGUAAGAGAAAUUUUGGCCAAAGUUUCUAUCUUUUUUUAGCCUCUUUAAGAGAUUUAUCUCUCUCUCAAUGAGAUGGUGUCUUGGGCUUCGCUUCAAAAGGACCCACUGUCAAGGCAUUUUCUGGGCAUCCAGGAUGAAGAGGAAGAGGAAGAGGAAGAGGAAGAUAUAUAUAUAUAUAUAUACAUGUAUAUAAAUUAAGAUUUUUUAGUCGUUUUCUUUUCUAAAUUUUGCCUUUUGGGUUAGAUUUUUUUGGGCUCCGGGAACUCUUCAGAAGGAGAUGGGUUCUUAAUGUUACUGUCACUUUCAGAAUCAGAGAUUAAUAUGACAGAGAGAUCGUUCAAACAUAGUUCUCGCUAUUAUGCUUCUAUGUUCACUACAAUCCAUUUUUGUCCUUGUUUCUCCGUUUCGUUUCUGGGUUUUCUUUGUCUCAAUGAUUGAAGUGACGGGUGUGAUCUCACAUCACUCUAGUUUCUUCUAUCUCUGGACUUUGUGAGAGAGUCAGAGAGAUUCCAUUCAACCAUUGCAGCUACUACAGGUGCGUCUGGGUGGGUCUGGUAUGAUUGGCUGCAUUAGUUAUUAUUUUUAUUUCAUUUUUUGAAUUUUUAAUACUAUCAUGGAUGUUGAUAAUUAAUAAAAUAAUGAUAGUCAUCUCAGUAUGAAGAUGGAUCAACGUGGGAGAGAGAGAGAGUCUCUUUAUUAGGGUCCUUCCCCAAAGGAGUGCAAAAGAGAUGCCCUUUUCUUCAAUUAUUUUUGCAUAUUAACUGCUGAGUCUAUGACAGCCAUUAAAGCUUGAUUUUGAAGAAAAUAUCAUACUUGCUACUUCCUUCUACUGUAUGUAUAUUUACCACAACUUAAUUACCCUUUUAUCAUUUUCAACUGAUAGGGCUCAUAAUCAGAUUUAGGGAAGUUGAUGAGCACGAAUUACAGUGCCGUGUUCAAUGUUCGAAAUCACUGUAAUAUCCUGCAAUCUUUAACCAUUGACC